UGAAAUAGUGGAGAUCAAGUUCGUUUAUGGGUUUUGGGGAUGAGUACAUCUGAUUAAAGGAAGAAAACUUGAAUCUGAGAGACUUUAGGGUUUCUUCAUCAUCAAAGUUGGGAAAGCUGCUCAAUUCAAGAUCAAGGUGAUUCAAAACCGGUAAAUCUCCAAUGCUGGUAAUGAAAAUGUGAUGGGCCUGCAAAUGUGGAUGUUCCUGCUAAUGGUGUAGAGAGAGAUACCCCUGGAGUGCAGUGACUGAAGAUAUGGAAGCUGAGUGGCAAUUUCGUUGUGGUGGUAAACACACUGAGGACCCAGUAAACUUUUCGUUGCUUGAUGAAGCAACUCUCAACCUACUCCAGGUGUAUUGCUGAAGGGAAUGUUUUUUGAAGAUAGAACUACUUUCACAGAUCAUCUUAGGCACUAUGCAGCGAAGACAAAGAAUAAUGUUUCUUUGUUCUUCUUUCAUUUUUCUUUUUUUGAAGACAGAGGAUUCUGCAUUUUUUUUUGUUAGACCUUGCUGCAUUGAUUAUGUCAUCUGGGUUUCAGAAUUUUCACAAUUUAGGUUUAUCCACAAAACGAAAGUUGAUUUUGUCUUUUGUAAUUUUUCCAUUAACUGAGGUUAACAGUAUCAUUUCACCAAUAUCAGGGCACCAAAAGAUUUUUUCUGGUUGCGUAC
Molecule: long non-coding RNA, 667 nt
Organism: Papaver somniferum (opium poppy)
Lineage: Eukaryota; Viridiplantae; Streptophyta; Magnoliopsida; Ranunculales; Papaveraceae
Exons: 2
Source: RefSeq, a predicted model, not a curated record